AAAGUUCCCUGAGCAGUUACAAGUUUUCGCUGAUCCGUAGUUAACUCUUUCAGCGAUUCAACGACCAAGCGCCAAACUUUAGGAAUCAGUGGACCCCAUACUCCCACCAGCUGACUCACCGGGCCAAGGCGAGCUUCCAAUUUGACCGUGCACGGCUUUGAUCACAGCACCGGGGUUCAGCGCUGUCUCUAACAGCUGCUUCCUUCGGCUCUCCGUUUGUCUUCUGUCCCGAAGAACUGACGAACUUUGAGUCCCUGUAUUGCAGGCACCAAUUAUUGAUGGAAGGGUAUGGACAGAUUGCUCCAGGAUCAAUAUGAUCAGGCAAAAUGUCGGAUUUAUUAGGAGAAAGACAGAUUAUAUAGUGCUCAUGACGCUCAGCUUCUUGUUCACACAACAUUGGUUACAUAAGGAAAACAUGCUCUGCUGUUCCCUGCUAAUUGGACCACAACAGGUGGUCAUAGGAGAUGAGAAAACUUUA
Molecule: long non-coding RNA, 478 nt
Organism: Pseudopipra pipra
Lineage: Eukaryota; Metazoa; Chordata; Aves; Passeriformes; Pipridae
Exons: 2
Source: RefSeq, a predicted model, not a curated record